GACGCCUGCGCAGUAAGUAAGCCUGCCAGACACGCUGUGGCGGCUGCCUGAAGCUAGUGAGUCGCGGCGCCGCGCACUUGUGGUUGGGUCAGUGCCGCGCGCCGCUCGGUCGUUACCGCGAGGCGCUGGUGGCCUUCAGGCUGGACGGCGCGGGUCAGCCCUGGUUUGCCGGCUUCUGGGUCUUUGAACAGCCGCGAUGUCGAUCUUCACCCCCACCAACCAGAUCCGCCUAACCAAUGUGGCCGUGGUACGGAUGAAGCGCGCCAGGAAGCGCUUCGAAAUCGCCUGCUACAAAAACAAGGUCGUCGGCUGGCGGAGCGGCUUAUUUUGACUAAAGGAGAAGUUCAAGUAUCAGAUAAAGACACACACAACUGGAGCAGAUGUUUAGGGACAUUGCAAUUAUUGUGGCAGACAAAUGUGUGACUCCUGAAACAAAGAGACCAUACACCGUGAUCCUUAUUGAGAGAGCCAUGAAGGACAUCCACUAUUUGGUGAAAACCAACAGGAGUACAAAACAGCAGGCUUUGGAAGUGAUAAAGCAGUUAAAAGAGAAAAUGAAGAUAGAACGUGCUCACAUGAGGCUUCAGUUCAUCCUUCCAGUGAAUGAAGGCAAGAAGCUGAAAGAAAAGCUCAAGCCACUGAUCAAGGUCAUAGAAAGUAAAGAUUAUGGCCAACAGUUAGAAAUCGUAUGUCUGAUUGACCUGGGCUGCUUCCGAGAAAUUGAUGAGCUAAUAAAAAAGGAAACCAAAGGCAAAGGUUCUUUGGAAGUACUCAAUCUGAAAGAUUUGAAGAAGGAGAUGAGAAAUUUGAAUGACACCCAUCAGUCUCUUCACCUCUAAAACACUAAAGUGUUUUCGUUUCCAACAGCACUGUUUCAUGUCUGUGGUCUGCCAAAUACUUGCUCAAACUAUUUGACAUUUUCUAUCUUUGUGUUAACAGUGGACACAGCAAGGCUUUCCUACAUAAGUAUAAUAAUGUGGGAAUGAUUUGGUUUUAAUUAUAAACUGGGGUCUAAAUCCUAAAGCAAAAUUGAAACUCCAGGAUGCAAAAUCCAGAGUGGCAUUUUGCUACUCUGUCUCAUGCCUUGAUAGCUUUCCAAAAUGAAAGUUACUUGAGGCAGCUCUUGUGGGUGAAAAGUUUUUUGUACAGUAGAGUAAGAUUAUUAGGGGUAUGUCUAUACGACAAAAGGGGGGUCUUUCCUAAAAAAGAAAACAUGAUGCUUCAUUUCUACUUAAUGGAACUUGUGUUCUGAGGGUCAUUAUGGUAUCGUAAUAUAAAGCUUGGAUGAUGUUCCUGAUUAUCUGAGAAACAGAUAUAGAAAAAUUGUGUCGGACUUAAAUAAUUUUCGUUGAACAUGCUGCCAUAACUUAGAUUAUUCUUGGUUAAAAAAUAAAAGUCACUUAUUUCUAAUUCUUAAAGUUUAUAAUAUAUAUUAAUAUAGCUAAAAUUGUAUGUAAUCAAUAAAACCACUCUUAUGUUUAUUAAACUAUGGCUUGUGUUUCUAGACAA
Molecule: long non-coding RNA, 1509 nt
Organism: Homo sapiens (human)
Lineage: Eukaryota; Metazoa; Chordata; Mammalia; Primates; Hominidae
Gene: SBDSP1
Product: SBDS pseudogene 1
Source: Ensembl